Non-coding RNA from Sus scrofa (pig), 755 nucleotides. The record is from RefSeq and is a predicted model, not a curated record. NCBI's taxonomy places the organism in Eukaryota, Metazoa, Chordata, Mammalia, Artiodactyla, Suidae.
AGUUGCGUCUGUGACCUACACCACAGCUCAAGGCAACGCUGGAUCCCUAACCCACUGAGCGAGGCCAGGGAUCGAACCUGCAACCUCUCGGUUCCUAGUUGGAUUUGCUAACCACCGAGCCCCGAGGAGAGCUCUAGGCAUGGCUAAUCAUUCUACAAGGAAUAGAUCUUAUAGGAGCAGCGCAGACUGGAACAGGAGAGACAUUGUCCUACUUCAUGUCUGGAUUUAUUCGUUAUUUUCUGAAGACAAGGAGCGUGCCACACGGGGCUCGUUCUGCGGACCAGAUGCAAGGCCUGUCCGUGUCCAGAAAAGGCCUGUGAAGUGAAGCGACUCGCUGCUGCGCCUCUAAAAGCGAGGUUCUUUGUGAGUUGGUGCUGCUGCUUUGUUUCCGUGAAAUGCGUUAGGUUUUCGGGAGAGGGGAUUUUUAAAUUUCUUUCCCUUGGAAUGUCCUGCUUGAGAAUGCUGUGCUUACUGAUUUGGGCCUUAGGAUUUACGCACCCAAUUAGAGGCAGGGGCCUGAUGUAUAGAUGCCCCUUUUCUGGUGCCCACUUAAUGCAGUUAUACUGUGAGGAAAAGCAGAACAAAGGAUACUCAUCUCUUACUCCCCAAGCAAGAAAUUUUUUCCAUCAUUAGUUCAGGUCAGUCUAGAGAUUCAGCUGCAACUGAUUAAAAUCAGACUCUGGAGUUCCCAUUGUGGCUCAGUGAUUAGGAAAUCUAACUAGGGAUCAUGAGGUUGCGGGUUUGAUCCCUGGCCU